GCAUUGACAGUGGAUCGUCUUGCCUCACUAGAGAAGUAUUCUGAGACUGCUGUUGUACCACGUGCAUCUAUUUUGGCAACAGAAGUGGAGUGGCUGAAAUCCAUCAAGGCAGAUUUUGUGGUAUCAGAUGUUGUUCCAGUUGCUUGCAGGGCUGCAGCUGAUGCUGGAAUUCCAUCUGUUUGUAUCACCAACUUCAGGUUUUCACGACUAACUCCGUUUUUACUUCAUAUCUUCUUUGUCAUAUAUUAUUUGGCUGAAAUUAGAGUGUGUAUAAUGAUACAACAAAUGUUCAGGUAAAUAAAGCUCAAGUGAAAUACGCCGCAUGCUUUUUUGAUUUGAGGUUUAGAAUCAGACACCCAGAUUAUACUUCUGAUCCUUUUCAAGUCCUGAAAACUAUUUUAUAUAUUUUUGAUUAAUCUCUGUACCCUGUUGCAAAACAUGAUACUAUUAUUUGUAAUGAUUCCUGGUGAUCAAUGGACUAUGUCCUUUUGUUGGUUGUCAUUUUAUCUUCAGUAGAUCAAGGUUAAAAAAAUAUCCCUUAUAUACCUGCCAAUAUUUUUCCUGGGUAGCUGGGACUUCAUCUAUGCAGAAUAUGUAAUGGCAGCUGGAAACCAUCAUAGAUCAAUAGUGUGGCAGAUUGCAGAGGACUAUUCUCAUUGUGAAUUUCUUAUUCGACUGCCAGGAUACUGUCCAAUGCCUGCUUUUCGAGAUAUAAUUGACGUGCCAUUGGUUGUAAGGAGAUUGCACAAGUCUCGUAAAGAGGUGCGGAAAGAACUUGGAAUUGGGGAAGAUGUAAAUGUUGUUAUCCUGAAUUUUGGUGGACAGCCUGCAGGUUGGAAGUUGAAGGAGGAAUACUUGCCAACUGGUUGGUUGUGUCUGGUUUGUGGUGCCUCUGAGAGCGAGAAGCUACCUCCAAAUUUUUUAAAGCUUGCAAAAGAUGCAUAUACCCCGGAUCUAAUGGCAGCAUCAGACUGCAUGCUAGGAAAAAUUGGAUAUGGUACCGUCAGUGAGGCCCUGGCCUACAAGUUACCAUUUGUAUUUGUCCGUAGAGACUAUUUUAAUGAAGAACCGUUUCUCAGAAAUAUGCUUGAGUACUAUCAAGGUGGUGUUGAGAUGAUCAGAAGGGAUUUACUUACUGGACAUUGGAGACCUUACCUUGAACGUGCAAUGACUCUGAAUCCAUGCUAUGAAGGAGGAAUUAAUGGUGGUGAAGUUGCAGCUCGCAUUUUACAGGAUACAGCUUAUGGUAAAAAUUAUACACUAGACAAGCUGAGUGGGCCAAGGAGACUGCGUGAUGCCAUAGUUCUUGGAUAUCAGUUGCAAAGAGUUCCCGGAAGAGAUCUCUGUAUUCCAGAUUGGUAUGCAAAUGCAGAAAGUGAACUUGGUCUUCGUACAGGAUCACCUACUGCUGUAACAGCUGAAAACAAAUCUCUAGCAGACUCGUUUUAUCAAGACUUUGAGAUUCUCCAUGGAGACUUUCUUGGUCUGUCAGAUACCUUGAGUUUCUUGAAGAGCUUGGCAGGACUGGAUGCAUUGGUAGAUUCCCCAACAAAAACAGGAAAGCACACCAUUAGGGAGCAGAAAGCUGCUGCUGGUCUCUUCAAUUGGGAGGAAGACAUUUUUGUGGCAAGAGCACCUGGAAGGCUAGAUGUGAUGGGUGGAAUUGCUGACUAUUCUGGAAGUCUUGUUUUACAGAUGCCAAUUAGAGAAGCCUGUCAUGUUGCUGUUCAAAAGAUUCACCCCAGCAAACAGAGGCUAUGGAAACAUGCUCUGGCUCGGCAGCAGGACAAAGGACAAGGACCCACCCCUGUGCUUCAAAUUCUUUACCAAUUUGCGCCACAAUAGGUGUCAUAUGGCUCAGAACUGAGCAACCGUGGUCCAACAUUUGACAUGGACUUAUCCGACUUCCUGGAAGGGGAUGAACCCAUAACUUAUGAGAAAGCAAGGCAGUAUUUUGCCCGAGAUCCUUCCCAAAGAUGGGCUGCAUAUGUUGCUGGCACAGUUCUAGUUUUGAUGAAGGAGCUUGGCAUACGCUUUGAGAAUAGUAUCAGUUUGCUGGUCUCUUCUGCUGUCCCAGAAGGAAAAGGUGUGUCAUCCUCUGCAUCUGUGGAGGUUGCUAGCAUGUCU
This 2127-nucleotide unclassified non-coding RNA is filed under the name Hevea brasiliensis (rubber tree). Lineage: Eukaryota; Viridiplantae; Streptophyta; Magnoliopsida; Malpighiales; Euphorbiaceae. The record is from RNAcentral.